GACGGGAUAGCUCAAGUGGUAGAGCGCAUGUGUUGCAUGCAAGAGGUCCUGGGUUCAAUUCCCAUUCCCUCU
Molecule: transfer RNA, 72 nt
Filed under: Camelus bactrianus (Bactrian camel)
Lineage: Eukaryota; Metazoa; Chordata; Mammalia; Artiodactyla; Camelidae
Also listed under: 2 other names
Rfam family: tRNA
About the family: Transfer RNA (tRNA) molecules are approximately 80 nucleotides in length. Their secondary structure includes four short double-helical elements and three loops (D, anti-codon, and T loops).
Source: Rfam by way of RNAcentral